GUGCCAGCCGCCGCGGUAAGACAGAGGUGGCAAGCGUUGUUCGGAAUUACUGGGCUUAAAGGGCGCGUAGGUGGUGGCGUAAGUCCGGGGUGGAAGUCUGAGGCUUAACCUCAGGAUUGCCCCGGAAACUGCAUCACUUGAGUCAGCGAGGGGAUGGCGGAAUUCCCGGUGUAGCGGUGAAAUGCGUAGAUAUCGGGAGGAAGGCCGGUGGCGAAGGCGGCCAUCUGGCGCUGAACUGACACUGAGGCGCGAAAGCGUGGGGAGCAAACAGGAUUAGAAACCCCGGUAGUCC
RNAcentral lists this ribosomal RNA (292 nucleotides) under uncultured bacterium. Its description in RNAcentral is "partial 16S ribosomal RNA". It matches the Rfam family "Bacterial small subunit ribosomal RNA", at positions 505 to 796 of the family's 1533-position model. The record is from RNAcentral.